GAGAGAGUGGCUCAGUGGUAGAGUGUGUGCUUAGCAUGCACAAGGUCCUGGGUUCAAUCCCCAGUACUGCCA
RNAcentral lists this transfer RNA (72 nucleotides) under Camelus ferus (Wild Bactrian camel). It matches the Rfam family "tRNA". Rfam says of the family: Transfer RNA (tRNA) molecules are approximately 80 nucleotides in length. Their secondary structure includes four short double-helical elements and three loops (D, anti-codon, and T loops). Further hydrogen bonds mediate the characteristic L-shaped molecular structure. tRNAs have two regions of fundamental functional importance: the anti-codon, which is responsible for specific mRNA codon recognition, and the 3' end, to which the tRNAs corresponding amino acid is attached (by aminoacyl-tRNA synthetases). tRNAs cope with the degeneracy of the genetic code in two manners: having more than one tRNA (with a specific anti-codon) for a particular amino acid; and 'wobble' base-pairing, i.e. permitting non-standard base-pairing at the 3rd anti-codon position. The record is from Rfam by way of RNAcentral. Lineage: Eukaryota; Metazoa; Chordata; Mammalia; Artiodactyla; Camelidae.